RNAcentral lists this ribosomal RNA (429 nucleotides) under Acidobacteriota bacterium. RNAcentral describes it as "Acidobacteria bacterium partial 16S ribosomal RNA". It matches the Rfam family "Bacterial small subunit ribosomal RNA", at positions 355 to 776 of the family's 1533-position model. Lineage: Bacteria; Pseudomonadati; Acidobacteriota. The record is from RNAcentral.
UGGGGAAUUUUGUUCAAUGGGGGAAACCCUGAUCCAGCCAUCCCGCGUGUGCGAUGAAGGCCUUCGGGUUGUAAAGCACUUUUGUCAGGAAAGAAACGUCAUGGGUUAAUACCCCGUGAAACUGACGGUACCUGCAGAAUAAGCACCGGCUAACUACGUGCCAGCAGCCGCGGUAAUACGUAGGGUGCAAGCGUUAAUCGGAAUUACUGGGCGUAAAGCGUGCGCAGGCGGUUCGGAAAGAAAGAUGUGAAAUCCCAGAGCUCAACUUUGGAACUGCAUUAUUAACUACCGGGCUAGAGUGUGUCAGAGGGAGGUGGAAUUCCGCGUGUAGCAGUGAAAUGCGUAGAUAUGCGGAGGAACACCGAUGGCGAAGGCAGCCUCCUGGGAUAACACUGACGCUCAUGCACGAAAGCGUGGGGAGCAAACAGG